Molecule: ribosomal RNA, 253 nt
Filed under: uncultured bacterium
Lineage: Bacteria
Description: partial 16S ribosomal RNA
Rfam family: Bacterial small subunit ribosomal RNA
Source: RNAcentral
UACGUAGGGCGCAAGCGUUAUCCGGAAUUAUUGGGCGUAAAGAGCUCGUAGGCGGUUUGUCGCGUCUGCCGUGAAAGUCCGGGGCUCAACUCCGGAUCUGCGGUGGGUACGGGCAGACUAGAGUGAUGUAGGGGAGACUGGAAUUCCUGGUGUAGCGGUGAAAUGCGCAGAUAUCAGGAGGAACACCGAUGGCGAAGGCAGGUCUCUGGGCAUUAACUGACGCUGAGGAGCGAAGGCGUGGGGAGCGAACGGG